Molecule: transfer RNA, 71 nt
Filed under: Russula subnigricans
Lineage: Eukaryota; Fungi; Basidiomycota; Agaricomycetes; Russulales; Russulaceae
Also listed under: 1 other name
Description: tRNA-Glu
Rfam family: tRNA
About the family: Transfer RNA (tRNA) molecules are approximately 80 nucleotides in length.
Source: RNAcentral
GGUCUUUUAGUAUAAUGGUCGUACAGCAACCCUUCAAGUUGCUAGUGUCAGUUCGAAUCUGGUAAAGGCUA